Molecule: ribosomal RNA, 384 nt
Filed under: uncultured bacterium
Lineage: Bacteria
Description: bacterial SSU rRNA
Rfam family: Bacterial small subunit ribosomal RNA
Source: RNAcentral
AUUGAACGCUGGCGGCAUGCCUUACACAUGCAAGUCGAACGGCAGCACGGGAGCAAUCCUGGUGGCGAGUGGCGAACGGGUGAGUAAUGUAUCGGAACGUACCUUUCAGUGGGGGAUAACGUAGCGAAAGUUACGCUAAUACCGCAUAUUCUGUGAGCAGGAAAGCAGGGGAUCGCAAGACCUUGCGCUGAUUGAGCGGCCGAUAUCAGAUUAGCUAGUUGGUGAGGUAAAGGCUCACCAAGGCGACGAUCUGUAGCGGGUCUGAGAGGAUGAUCCGCCACACUGGAACUGAGACACGGUCCAGACUCCUACGGGAGGCAGCAGUGGGGAAUUUUGGACAAUGGGCGCAAGCCUGAUCAGCCAUGCGCGUGAGUGAAGAAGGCC